UCCGUAGGCGGGCGUCUAAGUCAGUGGUGAAAUCUUACAGCUCGACUGUAAAAUUGCCAUUGAUACUGGAUGUCUUGAAUUAGUGUGAAGUGGUUAGAAUGUGUAGUGUAGCGGUGAAAUGCAUAGAUAUUACACAGAAUACCAAUUGCGAAGGCAGAUCACUAACACUAUAUUGACGCUGAGGGACGAAAGCGUGGGGAGCGAACAGGAUUAGAUACCCUGGUAGUCC
Molecule: ribosomal RNA, 229 nt
Filed under: uncultured bacterium
Lineage: Bacteria
Description: partial 16S ribosomal RNA
Rfam family: Bacterial small subunit ribosomal RNA
Source: RNAcentral